This 119-nucleotide ribosomal RNA is filed under the name Cebus imitator (Panamanian white-faced capuchin). Lineage: Eukaryota; Metazoa; Chordata; Mammalia; Primates; Cebidae. The record is from RNAcentral.
AUCUAUGGCCAUACCACCCUGAACGCGCCCAAUCUCGUCUGAGCUUAGAAGCUAAGCAGGGUCGGGCCUGGUUAGUGCUUGGAUGGGAGACUGCCCAGGAAUACUGGGUGCUGUAGGCU